This 351-nucleotide ribosomal RNA is filed under the name Phanerodontia chrysosporium. Its description in RNAcentral is "partial large subunit ribosomal RNA". It matches the Rfam family "Eukaryotic large subunit ribosomal RNA", at positions 331 to 670 of the family's 3401-position model. Lineage: Eukaryota; Fungi; Basidiomycota; Agaricomycetes; Polyporales; Phanerochaetaceae. The record is from RNAcentral.
AGACCGAUAGCGAACAAGUACCGUGAGGGAAAGAUGAAAAGCACUUUGGAAAGAGAGUUAAACAGUACGUGAAAUUGCUGAAAGGGAAACGCUUGAAGUCAGUCGCGUCGUUCAGAACUCAACCCGGCCUCGCGCUCGGUGCACUUUCUGUUCGACGGGCCAGCGUCAGUUUUGAUCGUCGGAGAAAGGCCCUCGGAAUGUGGCACCCUCGGGUGUGUUAUAGCCUUGGGUCGUAUGCGACGGUUGGGACUGAGGAUCGCAGCACGCCUCACGGCCGGGGUUCGCCCACGCUACGUGCUUAGGAUGCUGGCGUAAUGGCUUUAAACGACCCGUCUUGAAACACGGACCAAG